GAUGAACGCUGGCGGCGUGCCUAAUACAUGCAAGUCGAGCGAACAGACGAGGAGCUUGCUCCUCUGACGUUAGCGGCGGACGGGUGAGUAACACGUGGAUAACCUACCUAUAAGACUGGGAUAACUUCGGGAAACCGGAGCUAAUACCGGAUAAUAUAUUGAACCGCAUGGUUUAAUAGUGAAAGACGGUUUUGCUGUCACUUAUAGAUGGAUCCGCGCCGCAUUAGCUAGUUGGUAAGGUAACGGCUUACCAAGGCGACGAUGCGUAGCCGACCUGAGAGGGUGAUCGGCCACACUGGAACUGAGACACGGUCCAGACUCCUACGGGAGGCAGCAGUAGGGAAUCUUCCGCAAUGAGCGAAAGCCUGACGGAGCAACGCCGCGUGAGUGAUGAAGGUCUUCGGAUCGUAAAACUCUGUUAUUAGGGAAGAACAAAUGUGUAAGUAACUAUGCACGUCUUGACGGUACCUAAUCAGAAAGCCACGGCUAACUACGUG
This 497-nucleotide ribosomal RNA is filed under the name uncultured bacterium. RNAcentral's name for it is "partial 16S ribosomal RNA". It matches the Rfam family "Bacterial small subunit ribosomal RNA", at positions 28 to 507 of the family's 1533-position model. The record is from RNAcentral.